CCAGAGCCAACAGACACUGCGGAGGUGGGAUUCCGGGAGCGCUCCGCAGCCCCCAUCACAACGGCGCCAGCCGGGCUGGGCUCCAAGAAGAACACUGAACGGGGCACGAUCAGGCUCUGCGUGACCUGCACGGAGCGCGGCGGACCCGCUCAGGGCUGUCGGGCCGGCAGCAGGGCACUGCGAGCCCCGGCCCCGGGCGGCGCAGGGAGCGCCGGGCAGCCGCGGCCCGGGCACCCGGGGCCUCCGCAGGGCCGCGGAUCGGGAGCAGGGCACUGCGAGCCCCGGCCCCGGGCGGCGCAGGGAGCGCCGGGCAGCCGCGGCCCGGGCACCCGGGGCCUCCGCAGGGCCGCGGAUCGGGAGCAGGGCACUGCGAGCCCCGGCCCCGGGCGGCGCAGGGAGCGCCGGGCAGCCGCGGCCCGGGCACCCGGGGCCUCCGCAGGGCCGCGGAUCGGGAGCAGGGCACUGCGAGCCCCGGCCCCGGGCGGCGCAGGGAGCGCCGGGCAGCCGCGGCCCGGGCACCCGGGGCCUCCGCAGGGCCGCGGAUCGGGAGCAGGGCACUGCGAGCCCCGGCCCCGGGCGGCGCAGGGAGCGCCGGGCAGCCGCGGCCCGGGCACCCGGGGCCUCCGCAGGGCCGCGGAUCGGGAGCAGGGCACUGCGAGCCCCGGCCCCGGGCGGCGCAGGGAGCGCCGGGCAGCCGCGGCCCGGGCACCCGGGGCCUCCGCAGGGCCGCGGAUCGGGAGCAGGGCACUGCGAGCCCCGGCCCCGGGCGGCGCAGGGAGCGCCGGGCAGCCGCGGCCCGGGCACCCGGGGCCUCCGCAGGGCCGCGGAUCGGGAGCAGGGCACUGCGAGCCCCGGCCCCGGGCGGCGCAGGGAGCGCCGGGCAGCCGCGGCCCGGGCACCCGGGGCCUCCGCAGGGCCGCGGAUCGGGAGCAGGGCACUGCGAGCCCCGGCCCCGGGCGGCGCAGGGAGCGCCGGGCAGCCGCGGCCCGGGCACCCGGGGCCUCCGCAGGGCCGCGGGCGGGGCCCGCCUGUUAUAAGUGCGGGUCCCGGGGUUUUGGGGGGCUGUUGGUGCGAAGCUCAGUGCCGGGUGCGUGGCGGUUCUGUCUGGCACGGCCAUGUGAGUGA
Molecule: long non-coding RNA, 1125 nt
Filed under: Ficedula albicollis (Collared flycatcher)
Lineage: Eukaryota; Metazoa; Chordata; Aves; Passeriformes; Muscicapidae
Description: lncRNA (ENSFALG00000023256.1)
Source: RNAcentral